This 569-nucleotide unclassified non-coding RNA is filed under the name Hevea brasiliensis (rubber tree). Lineage: Eukaryota; Viridiplantae; Streptophyta; Magnoliopsida; Malpighiales; Euphorbiaceae. The record is from RNAcentral.
CGAAAAGAUAUAAAAAAGGAGUUCUACAGUUGAAGCAAAGUCCGCUGGUGGUCGAGGUAAGGCCAAAGGUUCAAAAAAAUCAGUGUCCAGAUCUCAAAAAGCAGGUCUCCAAUUCCCUGUUGGCCGUAUUGCUAGGUAUUUGAAGAAAGGUCGUUAUGCUCAGCGUCUUGGCUCUGGUUCACCUAUCUAUCUCUCUGCUGUUCUUGAAUAUCUUGCUGCUGAGGUGCUAGAGCUUGCUGGGAAUGCAGCUAGAGAUAACAAGAAGAACAGGAUUAUUCCAAGGCAUAUACAACUGGCCGUGAGGAAUGAUGAGGAACUUAGCAAGUUGUUGGGGUCGGUCACCAUUGCUAAUGGUGGAGUUCUGCCCAAUAUUCACUCUAAUUUGUUGCCCAAGAAGAAUGGCAAGGGGAAAGUGGAGUCUGCAUCUCAGUCUCAAGAGUUUUAAAUUUUAUGUUAAAAUUAUUUCUGUGAAUGGGUUGUUUUUUAUAUAACAUGUUUGCUUCUGUCUUGUCACCUGAUUUGCUAUUCCGUCUAACAUCAACAAUGAACUGAAACAAAAUGUAGUUCCA